AGCAGCCGCGGUAAUUCCAGCUCCAAUAGCGUAUAUUAAAGUUGUUGCAGUUAAAAAGCUCGUAGUUGAAUUUCGGGACCAAUUUGUUGGUCGUGCCUCGGUACGUACUGGUAUUAUUGGUUUCUCCCUUCUGAAGAACCUCGAUGUCAUUAAUUUGGUGUCGUGGGGAGUCAGGACUGUUACUUUGAAAAAAUUAGAGUGUUUAAAGCAGGCAUACGCUUGAAUACAUUAGCAUGGAAUAAUGAAAUAGGACGUUUGAUUCUAUUUUGUUGGUUUCUAGGAUCGACGUAAUGAUUAAUAGGGAUAGUUGGGGGCAUUAGUAUUCAAUUGUCAGAGGUGAAAUUCUUGGAUUUAUUGAAGACUAACUACUGCGAAAGCAUUUGCCAAGGAUGUUUUCAUUAAUCAAGAACGAAAGUUAGGGGAUCGAAGACGAUCAGAUACCGUCGUAGUCUUAACCAUAAACUAUGCCGACUAGGGAUCGGAUGAUGUAAUUUUUAAUGACUCAUUCGGCGCCUUACGG
RNAcentral lists this ribosomal RNA (520 nucleotides) under uncultured Glomus. Its description in RNAcentral is "SSU rRNA". It matches the Rfam family "Eukaryotic small subunit ribosomal RNA", at positions 569 to 1093 of the family's 1831-position model. The record is from RNAcentral. Lineage: Eukaryota; Fungi; Glomeromycota; Glomeromycetes; Glomerales; Glomeraceae.